ACGGGUGAGUAACGCGUGAGAAUCUAGCUUCAGGUCGGGGACAACCAAUAGAAACGGUGGCUAAUACCGGAUGUGCCGAAAGGUGAAAGAUUUAUUGCCUGAAGAUGAGCUCGCGUCUGAUUAGCUAGUUGGUGUGGUAAGAGCGCACCAAGGCGACGAUCAAUGCAUGGUCUGAGAGGAUGAUCAGCCACACUGGGACUGAGACACGGCCCAGACUCCUACGGGAGGCAGCAGUGGGGAAUUUUCCGCAAUGGGCAUGCUUAUGACGGAGCAAUACCGCGUGAGGGAGGAAGGCUCUUGGGUUGUAAACCUCUUUUCUCAGGGAAUAAAAAAAUGAAGGUACCUGAUUUAUAAGCAUCGGCUAACUCCGUGCCAGCAGCCGCGGUAAUACGGAGGAUGCAAGCGUUAUCCGGAAUGAUUGGGCGUAAAGCGUCCGCAGGUGGCACUAUAAGUCUGCUGUUAAAGAGCAAGGCUCAACCUUGUAAAGGCAGUGGAAACUACAGAGCUAGAGUACGUUCGGGGCAGAGGGAAUUCCUGGUGUAGCGGUUUAAUGCGUAGAGAUCAGGAAGAACACCGGUGGCGAAAGCGCUCUGCUAGGCCGUAACUGACACUGAGGGACGAAAGCUAGGGGAGCGAAUGGGAUUAGAUACCCCAGUAGUC
Molecule: ribosomal RNA, 660 nt
Filed under: Anabaena iyengarii RPAN6
Lineage: Bacteria; Bacillati; Cyanobacteriota; Cyanophyceae; Nostocales; Nostocaceae
Also listed under: 5 other names
Description: bacterial SSU rRNA
Rfam family: Bacterial small subunit ribosomal RNA
Source: RNAcentral